CCCUAGUAACGGCGAGUGAAGCGGGAAGAGCUCAAAUUUGAAAUCUGGUGGCCUCAGGUCAUCCGAGUUGUAAUCUAUAGAAGUGUUUUCCGUGCUGGCUCAUGUACAAGUCCCUUGGAACAGGGCGUCAUAGAGGGUGAGAAUCCCGUCCUUGACAUGAACUACCAGUGCUCUGUGAUACAUUUUCAACGAGUCGAGUUGUUUGGGAAUGCAGCUCAAAAUGGGUGGUAAAUUCCAUCUAAAGCUAAAUAUUGGCGAGAGACCGAUAGCGAACAAGUACCGUGAGGGAAAGAUGAAAAGCACUUUGGAAAGAGAGUUAAACAGUAUGUGAAAUUGUUGAAAGGGAAACGAUUGAAGUCAGUCGUGCUCUUUGGAUUCAGCCGGUUCUGCCGGUGUACUUCCUUUGAGUGGGGUCAACAUCAGUUUUGAUCGCUGGAUAAAGGCUGGAGGAACGUAGUACCCUCGGGUAAACUUAUAGCCUCCUGUCACAUACAGUGGUUGGGACUGAGGAACGCAGCACGCCUUUAUGGCCGGGAUUCGUCCACGUACGUGCUUAGGAUGUUGACAUAAUGGCUUUAAACGACCCGUCUUG
Molecule: ribosomal RNA, 592 nt
Filed under: Filobasidium magnum
Lineage: Eukaryota; Fungi; Basidiomycota; Tremellomycetes; Filobasidiales; Filobasidiaceae
Description: partial large subunit ribosomal RNA
Rfam family: Eukaryotic large subunit ribosomal RNA
Source: RNAcentral